UGAAAGCACAAAGGGCACAUGGUGGAUGCCUACGCACCAGACGGCGAUGAAGGACGUGGCGAACUGCGAUAUGCCUCGGUGAGCUGUAAGCGAGCUUAGACCCGGGGAUUUCCGAAUGGGGCAACCCGGCAGGUUGAAGACCUGUCAUUCCGCAAGGAAGGCGAACGGCGUGAACUGAAACAUCUUAGUAGCGCCAGGAAGAGAAAGUAACAACGAUUCCCUAAGUAGCGGCGAGCGAACGGGGACUAGCCUAAACCGGCUUCGGCCGGGGUAGUGGGACAGCGAUGUCUCGAUUAAACUCAUAGACGAACCGAUCUGGAAAGUUCGACCGAAGGGGGUGAAAGUCCCGUAGUCGAAAUGGGUUUAAAAGAGUAGCUGCAUCCCGAGUAGCCCGGGGCACGAGAAAUCCUGGGUGAAUCCGCGAGGACCAUCUCGUAAGGCUAAAUACGUUUGGUGACUGAUAGCGUAGCAGUACCGUGAGGGAAAGGUGAAAAGCACCCCGGGAGGGGAGUGAAAUAGAACCUGAAACCGUGUGCCUACAAGCGGUCAGAGCAGAGCUUCGGCUUUGUGAUGGCGUGCCUUUUGCAUAAUGAGCCAACGAGUUAAUGUCAUAAGCGAGGUUAAGUAUUACAGAUACGAAGCCGUAGCGAAAGCGAGUCUUAACAGGGCGUAAAGUUUAUGGUAUUAGACCCGAAACCAGGUGAUCUACCCAUGGUCAGGUUGAAGGUUGGGUAAAACCAACUGGAGGACCGCACCAACCGUCGUUGAAAAGGCGGUGGAUGAACUGUGGGUAGGGGUGAAAGGCCAAACAAACCUGGAGAUAGCUGGUUCUCUCCGAAACAUAUUUAGGUAUGGCCUCAGGAUUAGAUUAAUGGAGGUAGAGCACUGAAUGGGCUAGGGGGCACACACGCUUACUGAACCCAAUCAAACUCCGAAUGCCAUUAAUUAUUUCCUGGGAGACAGGGCGUGAGGGAUAAGCUUCACGUGCGAGAGGGGAACAACCCAGACUGUCAGCUAAGGCCCCCAAAUAGAUGCUUAGUGCGUAAGGAUGUUCAAUUGCCCAGACAGCCAGGAUCUUGGCUUAGAAGCAGCCACGAUUUAAAGAGUGCGUAACAGCUCACUGGUCGAGUGGUAGAGCACCGAAGAUGAUCGGGACUAAGAAGCAUCUUGCCGAAGCUGCGGAACAGCGCUGAUUUAAUGCGUUUUGAUGAUAAGCGGGAGAUCAUAUUGCGAGCUGAUAAGCGAGCAAGCAUUUCCCCCGACUAUGAAGCAUCAUGCCGGAAAUGCAUGAAUAGCGAUCAUAGAGACGUAUCUUGCCGAAGGGCAAGGUGGCCAAGGAUGAUUUUCCGAAGGCAAAAUCAUUAUUAGACGUAUUAAAUCAGCGCUGUUGGUAGGAGAGCAUUGUGAACGGCGUAGAAGGUGAAUCGUAAGGUUUGCUGGAGCGUUCACAAGAGACCAUGUUGGCAUGAGUAACGAUAAUGCGGGCGAGAAACCCGCACACCACAAGCCCGAGGAUUCCUGAGUAAAGUUAAUCUUCUCAGGGUUAGUCGGCCCCUAAGGUAUAGCGAUAAGGCGAAGCUGAUGGGAAUCAGGUUAAUAUUCCUGAACCUGUGUAUGCAGUGAUGGAGUGACGCAAUGGUGCAGUGAGGACAGCUGUUGGAUUAGCUGUUGAAUGUGUGUAGGAGGUAAUACAGGCAAAUCCGUAUUACACUACUCCGAGGCACAGGACGACGCGUAAGCGACAAAGCUCACCUACAGACAUUGCCUAGAAAUAGCUUCUAAACUUAUGUAUAUACAGACCGUACCGCAAACCGACUCAGGUGGGCGAGGAGAGUAUCCUAAGGUGUUCGAGAGAACUCUGGUUAAGGAACUAGGCAAAAUAACCCCGUAACUUCGGGAGAAGGGGUACCCCAUUAUCGUGACCGGCUUGCGCCGUGAGCGAGAAGGGGUCGCAGUGAAGAGGCCCAAGCGACUGUUUAUCAAAAACACAGGUCUAUGCGAAGGCGAAAGCCACGGUAUAUAGACUGACACCUGCCCGGUGCCGGAAGGUUAAAUGGAGAGGUCAGCCUGCACUAAGUUUAUCAAUCACGAAGAGAUUGGUGAAUUUAGUGCAGGCGAAGCUUCGAAAUGAAGCCCCGGUAAACGGCGGCCGUAACUAUAACGGUCCUAAGGUAGCGAAAUUCCUUGUCGGGUAAGUUCCGACCUGCACGAAUGGUGUAACGAUUUGGGCGCUGUCUCAACCAGGGACUCGGUGAAAUUGAAGUAGCGGUGAAGAUGCCGCUUACCCGCGAACGGACGGAAAGACCCCGUGAACCUUUACUGUAGCUUGGCAUUGUAAAUUGGUGCAGUAUGUGUAGGAUAGGUGGGAGGCUAUGAAGCGUGCACGCUAGUGUGUGUGGAGCCGACGUUGAAAUACCACCCUUAUUGUAUUGAUUUACUAACGAUUGUAAAGCAAUCGGACAUUGCCAGGUGGGCAGUUUGACUGGGGCGGUCGCCUCCGAAACAGUAACGGAGGCUUACCAAGGUUCCCUCCGGCUGGUUGGUAAUCAGCCAAAGAGCAUAAAGGUAUAAGGGAGCUUAACUGCGAGACUGACGGGUCGAGCAGAUGGGAAACCAGGUCUUAGUGAUCCGGCGGUCCUGAAUGGAAGGGCCGUUGCUCAAAGGAUAAAAGGUACUCCGGGGAUAACAGGCUGAUACCGCCCAAGAGUUCAUAUCGACGGCGGUGUUUGGCACCUCGAUGUCGGCUCAACUCAUCCUGGGGCUGAAGAAGGUCCCAAGGGUUCGGCUGUUCGCCGAUUAAAGAGUUACGCGAGCUGGGUUCAGAACGUCGUGAGACAGUUCGGUCCCUAUCCUUCGUGGGCGUAGGAAAUUUGAGGAGAUCUGCAUUUAGUACGAGAGGACCGGUGUGGACGAACCUCUGGUGUACCGGUUGUGAUGCCAAUUGCAUUGCCGGGUAGCCACGUUCGGAGAGGAUAACCGCUGAAAGCAUCUAAGCGGGAAGCCAACUCCAAGAUUAGAUUUCCCAAUAGAUAGGUUGGAGACUACAACCUUGAUAGGUCACAGGUGUACGCGCAGCAAUGUGUUUAGCCGAGUGAUACUAAUAAAUCGAUUGGCUUUUACCU
Molecule: ribosomal RNA, 3122 nt
Filed under: fermentation metagenome
Description: bacterial LSU rRNA
Rfam family: Bacterial large subunit ribosomal RNA
Source: RNAcentral